This is a long non-coding RNA of Chenopodium quinoa (quinoa), 1815 nucleotides long. RefSeq lists it as uncharacterized. The record is from RefSeq and is a predicted model, not a curated record. The transcript has 2 exons. Lineage: Eukaryota; Viridiplantae; Streptophyta; Magnoliopsida; Caryophyllales; Amaranthaceae.
GUAGUACUAAUUUUUUUUUUUUUUUUUUUUUGAGGGAAAGGUAGCACGAGCUUUUAUUAAUUCCGUCGGAGUAAUGAUACUCUGCGGGGAAAGGUCCAGUACAAACAAGUUCUUCACAAGAUCCAGUAGUACUAAUUGUUUUUCCUUGAACAUACAUACGGUAAAUCGAUAAUACAAAGUAAUUAAGUAAAUCUCGUGCAUUACCAUAAAUACAUGGGUACAUUCGAGUAUUCUAAAUUUGUACUCGUAAGCUAUUUUUUAGGCAAGUAAAAGCCAACUACAACUCUGUAUUGUAAACGUAAACGUAAAAUUGUCUGCUUAAAGUGCUUAUAAAGUUUCCUAAAACCAAAAAAAACGACUCUACUGUAUUCUCUAUAAAAUAAAAUUUCUUCUCCCUUAAACUGUUUUCUGAAUCCUCCAUUGAAGCGGCUUUUGAGCUUUCUCUUCGAUCAGUCUCGAGUCUCCACCAUUGAAAGUAACGGCUUCUGAGAUGGGUGAUUAUUGGUCUAUGUUGCCCAAAGAUAUCCUUGGUAUAAUUGCAUUGAAAUUGGAUUCAAUUGAGGACUUGGUUUAUUUCUCUGCGGUAUGUCAUUCAUGGAAUCAUGCCUUCAAUAUGGUUAAACUCGAGUGGAGUCGUGUUGAUAAACCAACAACACCUUGGUUGUUACUAGGCGAGCCUACGAAUAAAAAUAAUGAUGAUGGUUGUCGGAAAAUAUUAAGUAUUGAAAAAAAUAAUAAGUGUUACGAAUUAAGUCUCCCGGAGACUUUUGGGGCGCGAUGUUGGGGUUCUCCAUAUGGCUUUAUCUUGAUGCUACACCUUAACAAGAAGAUCGAGUUAUUUAAUCCAAUCACCAAAGCUCGACUAAACCUCCCAUCCCUGCAAACGUUGCCAAUCGAUCCAGAAGAUGAUAUUUUUAAUGAUCAGUUAUACUUUGAUAUUGAUUGGAAAAAAUUGAGCGUACGCAAGUUCAUUGUCUUAAAAAUGCCUCAAAGUGAUGAUUUUCUUGUAAUGGCGAUCCAUUGGAGGCAUGACAAUCUAGCAUUUGCUCGUCUUGGAGACCAAACAUGAACACCAAUACAUACAUCUUGCGCUAGAUAUUAUCAAGUAAUUGAUGUGUGUUUUUGGGACGGAGUAUUACUCAUUUUAUAUCAAGACGGAACACUUGCUUAUUGUGAUAUCAUGAAAUCUGAUUUUACGGCCAAACUUUAUUUACCGGUUCCAUGUGAUGUUUUUAGAUAUGUACUUGCGGGGAAUGGAGAGAUGUAUAUGGUGGUGAUUGAUGGUCAUUUGCAUGUAGUCUCUCGAAUGAAGGAGGAUUUUUUAGAUGAUGAUGGUUAUUCGGACUAUCGUACAUAUGAUUUUUUUGUGUACAAGCUUGACGUUGAGAAUAAGUUGUGGGAAAAAGUUGAAUGUUUGAUGGAUGUUUCUUUUUUUGUCGGUAAUAACACAUCAAUGUUUGCUGAUAUAUCAAAUGCUCAAAGAAAUGCUAUCUACUUUACCGAUGAUGAAAAAGACUUUUGGAGACAUGGAAGGGUGAGAUUACGUGGACAUGAUAUGGGUGUGUAUGAUAUGACAUCUUUGUGUUUUAAAAAGUUUUACCAAGGUGACGAUGCACUUUGCGAGAAUACGUCUCCUACAUGGUUUAUACCCAAGUUUUAGAUAUUACUAGUUUUCCUUUUCUUUGAACAUUUUCGCUUAUAGAGAAGCUUAUCUAGUAAUAAAGGGGAUAUGCUAUUAUCCUUAUGGUAGUUUUGUAUGAAACUUUUAAGUUAAUUUGCACUAAAUUUCAAUUUGAAUAUUUAUGAUUUUCUUAA